CCAAAAACGGAAUUAUAGUCCUUUUUAGAAAAAAAUCACCUACUAAACUUGAUAGAAAAAAUUAUUACUAGUUAUAAAGAUUAUGGAAAUUAAAAUGAAUCCAGUCUAUAACCUUAAAAAAUAUAUAAAUAUAUAUUUAGUAUAUCUAGAAUAUUUAGGUUAAUAAGGUGCCAGCAACCGCGGUCAAACCUUAUUAAUAAAUAAUUUAUUAUAAACUAUUACAUUUAAAUAUAUAAAUUUAUAGAGUGCAGUGAAAUGUCGCUAUAUUUCUGAAGUCCUAAUAUAUCUCCUCAUAUAUAAAAUAAAAUAAGAUAGAAAACUAGGAUUAGAUACCCUAUUAUUCUUAACCCAUAGCUAGUAGAUUGAGGAGUAAAAUUACUAUAAACUCAAAAGUCAUGGCGGCUAUUAAAAUUUAUCAGGGGAGCUUACCAAAUAAUUGAUAACCACCAAGAUAUUCCUCUUUUGCUUAAAGUUUGUAUGCCGUCGUCUUAAAAUUUUCAGAGAAAAUUUUUUUUGCUACUAAGUAAGAGAAAGACAGAUCAAGGUGCAGCUAAUGCAAAAGAUCUAGGCGAGCUACAAUAACCAAAUAUUAACCCAUGCAACUUAAAAUACUUGCUGAAGUUGGACUUGAAAGUAAGUUACAAAUAAAAAAUAAUAGCUGAAUAGUCUGUUUAAUAGUGC
RNAcentral lists this ribosomal RNA (681 nucleotides) under Orcula dolium. RNAcentral's name for it is "partial 12S ribosomal RNA". Lineage: Eukaryota; Metazoa; Mollusca; Gastropoda; Stylommatophora; Orculidae. The record is from RNAcentral.